RNAcentral lists this ribosomal RNA (445 nucleotides) under uncultured bacterium. RNAcentral's name for it is "bacterial SSU rRNA". It matches the Rfam family "Bacterial small subunit ribosomal RNA", at positions 354 to 796 of the family's 1533-position model. The record is from RNAcentral.
GUCGAGGAUAUUUAGCAAUGGGGGAAACCCUGACUAUGUGACGCCGCGUGAGGGAUGAAGGUCUUCGGAUUGUAAACCUCUUUCGAUGGGGAAGAAACUUCUAUUUAACAAAUAGAACUGACGGUACCUAGAGAAGAAGCCAUGGCUAACUCUGUGCCAGCAGCCGCGGUAAUACAGAGAUGGCGAGCGUUACUCGGAUUUAUUGGGUGUAAAGGGCAGGUAGGCGGCUAUGCAAGUUGGGGGUGAAAUCCUGUGGCUUAACCACAGAACUGCCUUCAAAACUGCAUAGCUUGAGGCUAGAAGAGGAGAGCGGAAUUCCCGGUGUAAGAGUGAAAUCUGUAGAUAUCGGGAGGAACACCAGUGGCGAAAGCGGCUCUCUAGUCUAGCCCUGACGCUAAGCUGCGAAAGCUAGGGGAGCAAACAGGAUUAGAAACCCGGGUAGUCC